CCUACGGGAGGCAGCAGUGGGGGAUAUUGCACAAUGGGGGGAACCCUGAUGCAGCGACGCCGCGUGGGUGAAGAAGCGCCUCGGCGCGUAAAGCCCUGUCAGCAGGGAAGAAAAUGACGGUACCCGAAGAAGAAGCCCCGGCUAACUACGUGCCAGCAGCCGCGGUAAUACGUAGGGGGCAAGCGUUACCCGGACUUACUGGGUGGAAAGGGGGCGCAGACGGCGGUGCAAGCCAGGGGUGAAAGCCCGGGGCCCAACCCCGGGACUGCGCUGGGAACUGCGUGGCUGGAGUGCAGGAGGGGCAGGCGGAAUUCCUGGUGUAGCGGUGAAAUGCGUAGAUAUCAGGAGGAACACCGAUGGCGAAGGCAGCCUACUGGACUGCAACUGACGUUGAGGCCCGAAAGCGUGGGGAGCAAACAGGAUUAGAUACCCGUGUAGUC
RNAcentral lists this ribosomal RNA (440 nucleotides) under uncultured bacterium. RNAcentral's name for it is "partial 16S ribosomal RNA". It matches the Rfam family "Bacterial small subunit ribosomal RNA", at positions 338 to 795 of the family's 1533-position model. The record is from RNAcentral.